RNAcentral lists this ribosomal RNA (253 nucleotides) under uncultured bacterium. RNAcentral describes it as "partial 16S ribosomal RNA". It matches the Rfam family "Bacterial small subunit ribosomal RNA", at positions 524 to 776 of the family's 1533-position model. The record is from RNAcentral.
UACAGAGGUCCCAAGCGUUGUUCGGAUUCAUUGGGCGUAAAGGGUGCGUAGGUGGCGUGGUAAGUCGGGUGUGAAAUCCCGGGGCUCAACCCCGGGACUGCAUUCGAUACUGCCGUGCUUGAGGACUGGAGAGGAGACUGGAAUUUACGGUGUAGCAGUGAAAUGCGUAGAGAUCGUAAGGAAGACCAGUGGCGAAGGCGGGUCUCUGGACAGUUCCUGACGCUGAGGCACGAAGGCCAGGGGAGCAAACGGG